This 175-nucleotide microRNA precursor is filed under the name Podarcis lilfordi (Lilford's wall lizard). The record is from RNAcentral. Lineage: Eukaryota; Metazoa; Chordata; Lepidosauria; Squamata; Lacertidae.
AUUUAGCCAGCUGAGUGGGGAGGAGAGAGGGACAGAGAGCCUGCUUGCUUUAAAGGAGCCAACCGGACAGGAGCCGCUUACACUCGUGUAAGCGGCUCAUCUCCUCUCCCGCUUUGCUCCUUUAAAGCAAGCAGGCUCUCUGUCCCUCUCUCCUCCCCACUCAGCGGCUCUUCUC